AGGGUGUAAGGGGUGCAGAAUGAGGUGACCUUGGGCAAGUGGGGCCUCCGGGGUCCCUGGCUCCUGUCUCGGGUCCCCUUAAGCUACGGGACGUGGACUCAGUGCUCUGAGGCCAGGGACAGAGUGGGGCUUUCAGCCGACACUUGCCAAAUGUCCCCUGGGGGACCCGGCAUCUGCCAAGGACGGGGGAGCUGGGAUGGCCCUGCCCUUCUAGGAGCCAUGUAGAUGCUUCAGGGGCAGAGGGCCUAUGAGCAGACACACUGCUAGGGACACACUGCUCCAGGCUGGAGGCCACUUGAUGGAGUGGAGGGGACUUCCAGGUCUGGCCCAGCAACUCCAUCAUUGCCAGACAGACGGGCACAAGGCCAAGCACAGGUGCAUCACCGCUCACCCGGAGGCCUGGUGGAGGCGACCACUGACCACAGCAUCCACAUCCCUCUGCUAUGACUGGCGACCCCGAGGCCAGGCCCUCCACCCUGGACCAGAGCUACUGGUGGACAAGUCAGACCCUUGACUCCCCGAGGGCAGGAGCUGGGCUGACCGACCUCAGAGCUCCACACUGCCCAGCCCAGUCCCUGACCUGGAAGGGGAGCUCCUGGCUCGUGUGCACAGGGACGGUACCACCUCUGCAUCUGGCAGAGGGAUUCCCAGGAAAGAAGUCUGAGUCAUCCUUGAGAGAAAACAAAUGCCAACGGAAGCUGCAGCGAGACCAGUGGGGCCUCUUCCAUUCCUUCUAGAACGUUCCAUGAGAGGCUAAGCAAAACGCCAGCUCACCUUGCCGAGACUUUAAUCUGGCAACUCUAAAAGCACAUGGCUGGCCUGCAGAUGCAUCCAGACCAGAACCUCCAGGAAACAGGCUGAGGUCCACGGGGCGCCUGUCCACGCCGUCCCCUCUUCCACAGCCCUCCUUGGGCUCCCCCUAAAGUCUGUACCGGCUAUCCUGGGGGAGGUGGCCCGUGGAGGGCCAGCCAAGUAGCAGCCGGUGCCCGGUCUUGGAGUGUGGCAGGACGCUGGGACAAGGGUGAGCUGCCCUUGGGACCGCCACAGGCUGCUGCGGCACACUUUGUUCAGACGUAAUAACAGCUAUUAGGCUGCAUAAUUGACCCAAAGAGGGAAGUCAUUGCAGCAAGAAACAAAGGGUGCUCAGUGCCGCCUGGCCGCCGACCAGCUGGCCCAUGGGGCGCCCAGUGCCUCUUACGUGGGCAGCCACUUCCCUGGUCGCCGGGGGAGGGGUGCUCCCAGGCCUUCCCUGCCCCGUGGCCUGCAGCGCGUGGAUGGUGUGCAUGCACCCCCAGACCAGGCACAGCGGCCGGGCCUGGGGCGAGUCACUGUGGAGUCCCCACGGAGUCCCUGAUGGCGGUGGGCUCGUCCCUCGUUUCCUCAGCUCGGCCCACAGGUCCUGCCACAGCCUGUCACCCUUCGCUUGGUGCCCGGCCCCCUGCCAGAAGGAUGGGAAAUGCGGGCAGGUGUGCAUCGUAAGUGCCAAGAGCGAAAGCAGGGAGCACCGCACACUGUGUCUCAGGGAGGCCAGAGUAACAAAGGGGAACUCGACACAAAGAUGAAAAUAAACCAGUGCAGGAGGUCCUGCCCGCGGAGAGCUACACCUGCAGCACCCCGAGGCCGCCCAGCCCCAGGCCACAGGCCGGCGGCCCCGAGUCACCCAGUGAGGCUGGCUCGGCUCUCAUCCCCCCCUCUCGGCUGGCUUCUUGCCUCCCAACGACAUCUGAGCCGUCCUCUUGCAGCACACGACUCACAGGAUUUACUAGGUCUUAUAAACAAUUCCUGGCCCAGCUCUGAAGGGCAGGUGCCCCAGGCAUCUCCCCGGGGAUGCUGGAGUCCUCCAUCAGCAGGACACUGGGGCGCCUCUGCGGCCUUGCGUUCCCAGGAGGGCCGAGGGGCGUGGCACGCUCUGGGGUCACAGUGAGGCGCACCCCAUCAGAAGCACUUCCAAUGAGAAGUGCUUUGCUCACCGAGGAGCGAAGGGUGUGAGGCCCGGGGACACCAGGAGCUUCUGGAGCAGUGUGAGGCCACCAGGCCCAGCCGGCCCGCUGCACAGCCAGCUGUCCUUCCAGUGGGGAGAGUCCAUCAGGGCCACAGGAGUGGCCUUUUCACAUUUCAACAAAACAAAUAUGGACGCAAAUACUCAUUUUGGUCCCCCUCUGGCUGAUGAUGACACGGCAGCUUUGGGAGGCAUGUGAAGAAAUGCUCGGUGCCCUGGAUGAUAAGACACGGACAUGCACAGAGCAGCUUCCCAGAGCCCCAACCCCCCGAAAAGCAGACCCCGUAUGGUCAGAAGGCACAGAUAGGAAAGGCAGGCCAGGGUGAGCCUUCUUGGGGGUGUCAGACUAACGGCCACACAGCACAACCCCCAGAGGGCAGGGGUCCUUUUGAGGAAGGGCAGCUGCCAGUCCCACGCAUCCUAGAAGAUCAGCAUCGCCCCCAUUCCAGGUGGGGAGACGGAGCCAGCCGUUCCUGGGCUGGGCCACUGUACUGCCCUUCACACCUCCGCUGGUCAAUGUCUGCAGUGACCCCACGACAGGUGUCUGAGUGGGCUUCUCAGAUGGAAGAGGAGCAGGGAGAGGCUGGGACUGGGAUCCGUUGCUGGGUGGGCCCCAGGCAGGCGCGGGGAGUGGAGGUGCUCGUGCCAGAGAUCUGCCUUCCAGCAGGUGCUCCCAGGGGCCCAGAUGGAGCAGACCACCAGCUACAGAGGUCUCCGGCCCUGCCCAGCCGCCCUGCAGAGCUGCCCCUGCUCUCUGCAGCUCUGCUAGGGCAGUGAGGUCUUGCUGAGGCCAGGGCUUGUCAGCCAGGCCUCGCAGGCUCUGGAAUCUGCUCUUGGCACCAGAUGCUGGUCCAGGGCAAAUAAGACAGGCUCCCCGAGAGCCCGGAGAGCUCAAGUUCUCCUUCACUAAUUGCUAACCUGUGCAAGAGUGAGCACGAGAAUGAAAGCCACCAACCUGCAGCUGGGAACAGAACAUACUGUUCACCGGCUGUCCAUCCAUCAUCUUACCUCGUAUUCCAGAAGGCGCAAUGUUCCCAUAAUAUAAUCGUUUAGUGGAAA
Molecule: long non-coding RNA, 3058 nt
Organism: Canis lupus familiaris (dog)
Lineage: Eukaryota; Metazoa; Chordata; Mammalia; Carnivora; Canidae
Exons: 2
Source: RefSeq, a predicted model, not a curated record